GAUGAACGCUGGCGGCGUGCCUAAUACAUGCAAGUCGAGCGAACGGACGAGAAGCUUGCUUCGCUGACGUUAGCGGCGGACGGGUGAGUAACACGUGGAUAACCUACCUAUAAGACUGGGAUCACUUCGGGAAACCGGAGCUAAUACCGGAUAAUAUUUUGAACCGCAGGGGUCAAAAGAGAAAGACGGUCUUGCUGGCACUUAUAGAUGGAUCCGCGCUGCAUUAGAUAGUUGGUAAGGUAACGGCUUACCAAGGCAACGAUGCAUAGCCGACCUGAGGGGGUGGUCGGCCACCUUGGAGCUGGGCCACCGUCCAUGCGCCUACGGGAGGCAGCAGUAGGGUACCGUCCGCAAUGGGCGGAAGCCUGACGGAGCGACGCCGCGUGAGUGAUGACGGUCCUCCGAUCGUAAAACUCUGUUAUUAGGGAAGAACAGAUGUGUAAGUAGCUGUGCACAUCGUGACGGUACCUAAUCAGAAAGCCCCGGCUAACUACGUG
RNAcentral lists this ribosomal RNA (497 nucleotides) under uncultured bacterium. Its description in RNAcentral is "partial 16S ribosomal RNA". It matches the Rfam family "Bacterial small subunit ribosomal RNA", at positions 28 to 507 of the family's 1533-position model. The record is from RNAcentral.